AAUGAACGUUGGCGGCGUGGAUUAGGCAUGCAAGUCGAGCGAGGAAACAUGUAGCAAUACGUGUUAUUCGAGCGGCGUAAGGGGCAGUAAUACCUGGGAACGUACCCUGAGGUCGGGGAUAGCUGCUAGAAAUGGCGAGUAAUACCCGAUGAUCUCGAGAGAGCAAAGGCUUGCCGCCUUCGGAGCGGCCCAGGCGAUAUUAGCUAGUUGGUGGGGUAAUGGCCACCAAGGCAUAGAUGUCUAGCGGGUGUGAGAGCACGACCCGCGCCACUGGCACUGAGACACUGGCCAGACACCUACGGGUGCUGCAGUCGAGAAUCUUCGGCAAUGAGCGCAAGCUUGACCGAGCGACGCCGCGUGCGGGAUGAAGGCC
RNAcentral lists this ribosomal RNA (373 nucleotides) under uncultured bacterium. Its description in RNAcentral is "bacterial SSU rRNA". It matches the Rfam family "Bacterial small subunit ribosomal RNA", at positions 29 to 416 of the family's 1533-position model. The record is from RNAcentral.